Ophiophagus hannah (king cobra) is the source of this 297-nucleotide non-coding RNA. It matches the Rfam family "7SK RNA". From Rfam's summary of the family: 7SK was discovered as an abundant small nuclear RNA in the mid-70s but a possible function has only recently been suggested. Two independent studies have found that 7SK RNA binds the CDK9/cyclin T complex (known as elongation factor P-TEFb). Lineage: Eukaryota; Metazoa; Chordata; Lepidosauria; Squamata; Elapidae. The record is from Rfam.
GAAUAUAAAGAUGAUCUGCCUAACACAUCUGCCACCCCGUUGAUCAUCAGGGACAAUUCAGAUAAACUGGCCAGCUAGGUGGGUAUCCCCUUCCUUCUUCCCCAGUCAUGUUCAUCUAUCCUGAACCUUUAUACUUGGUAGAAGAGGACAAUUAUUUCACAUAGGAAUUUACUUUUUUUCCGUCAAGGAAGAUGCCUUCCCUCAUUUCGUCCUUGACUGUCAGGUCCAGGGACAGAAAUAGGAGAUGAAACCUGUGAGAAUUUGAAAAGUAAUUAUCACGGUGAAAUGAAACUAGAU